CGGCUCGCGUGCGCGCGCGUGCGUGCGCGCGUACGCGUGCGUGCGAGCGCGCGCGCGCACUAACGGGCACGCGUACGCGAGCAAGCCACUCGCCAUCCCACUGCACCACACAGAACACAAUUACCUUCUUGUUUCUCACUUGGCUCCAUAUGUCGAUCACCCGGCUUAUGUAUUUUUUUUUUCAAUUUUAGUCGAUCAUCGCUGAAGAAAUUAUUUUGUUUUCGUCCGUCUUAUACUUUUGUCCUCCGCACUCUUUUUUUUUUUGUAUAUCCAACUCGCGCAAAAGUCAAAAGAUUGAGUGCACAAGUGGAUAUUUUUUUUUUGUUUUCCACCAGAGUUAUUAGUUCGGCAAUCUUCACAGCGCAAGUCUUGAGCUGCAGGUCGGCAGGAUCGCAAAAUUGUCAGCCGGACGCCGCUUCCUCCUAUACCCCGCGAUCGAGAGCGCUUCGAGAGGUCAGCUGGAGAAUAAAGAGGAAGACUACAGCUGUCCACACUGACGAGCAGACAUUUCCGAGGAAUCUGGAUACAGCGCCACCAUCUGGAAGUGAGGACAAGAUCAUCUUUUUCAGCCUCGGCUGAUAAGGUACACUUGGCGAAUUGCACGAAUGAGGAAACGCACGUACCAACUUGCCCAACAGCCAUUCACAACCGGGAGUCAAACGCAAGAAGUACUCCAGCAUAGUGCACCGCCCGCCCGACACGGUUACUCGGGUUGCACGGUUGUUACUAGGGUUGCAUGGUUACUGGGUUGCCACGGUUACUAGGGUUGCAUGGUUACUGGGUUGCCACGGUUACUAGGGUUGCAUGGUUACUGGGUUGCCACGGUUGUUACUAGGGUUGCAUGGUUACUGGGUUGCCACGGUUACUAGGGUUGCAUGGUUACUGGGUUGCCACGGUUGUUACUAGGGUUGCAUGGUUACUGGGUUGCCACGGUUGUUACUAGGGUUGCAUGGUUACUGGGUUGCCACGGUUACUAGGGUUGCAUGGUUACUGGGUUGCCACGGUUACUAGGGUUGCAUGGUUACUGGGUUGCCACGGUUACUAGGGUUGCAUGGUUACUGGGUUGCCACGGUUACUAGGGUUGCAUGGUUACUGGGUUGCCACGGUUACUAGGGUUGCAUGGUUACUGGGUUGCCACGGUUACUAGGGUUGCAUGGUUACUGGGUUGCCACGGUUACUAGGGUUGCAUGGUUACUGGGUUGCCACGGUUACUAGGGUUGCAUGGUUACUGGGUUGCCACGGUUGUUACUAGGGUUGCAUGGUUACUGGGUUGCCACGGUUACUAGGGUUGCAUGGUUACUGGGUUGCCACGGUUACUAGGGUUGCCAGCUUUUGUGUUUUUUUUCUUUCUCAGGGACGUCCUCCUGUUGAGCUGGCAGCUGUCAUGGGAAAUCCGUAAAGUUUUCCCGGGAUAUUAAAAGUUGGGAUUAUUGCCAAUUGAGCAACGAUAACCCACCAAAGAAAAUGCAAUUGUGUGUAGUUCUACCCUCUGCCGCUUUUUGUGAGAUAUGCUUCUUCCAACGAUGUUCCAGUCUUGUUGCACAUCCAAGGUGGCAACCCUACAUGGUGCACACUUGCAUGCAUGCAUAUUGGACCUACACAAUACAGUCCAUGGAUUAUUACAUCUCAUCCAUUAUGAUAAUUGCUCAAAUGGAACACUACAUGUUGAGAGUUCCCUAGUUUGUGAACUAUAUUCCCAAUCCUAUAAAACCACUAUUUUACGUGUUAAAAUCGUACACUUAUUCUCAAAAGACGUAUUUUCAUUGUAAAAUGUCCCCGUGAAAUAUGUACAGAGAAAAAAAAUCUAAUCCUGAAAUCUAAUUAGGAUUAGACGAUAUUCGCAUGCCUUUCAUAGGAAAUGCUUAUAUUCUAAGUCAACUGCCUUCAGUGUAAUUUACAAUUCUGUGUGCUUCUCUAGUAAUAAACGCAUCCUAUUUUCCA
Molecule: long non-coding RNA, 1941 nt
Organism: Petromyzon marinus (sea lamprey)
Lineage: Eukaryota; Metazoa; Chordata; Hyperoartia; Petromyzontiformes; Petromyzontidae
Source: RefSeq, a predicted model, not a curated record